GUCGUCUAGACUUAUCCUAUUGGUCGUAGAAGCUAAUAAGGGUACGACUGUUCGUCGUUUAAAAAGUUACUUGAGAUGGGUUAAUUACGACGUGAGUCAGUAAUGAUUUUAUCAUCUAUGACGUUAAUAGUAAUAUGUAAUUAUAUGUGUACGAAAGGAUUAUAUAAUAUAGUUCAAUGGUGAAGAGCUUUUGAUUCUUAGCUAAAACUAUAAAGGAUAAAUAUUGAUAGCUUAUUAAAUAUUAAGCCUUACAUAUUCACUAUAUAAACAUUAAAGAUAAUAAUGUAAUAGUAAUAUAUCUAUGCUUUAUUCUUAUAUAAGAAUAUAGAGGAUAUAAUAAACUAAUAAAUAUAAUCAUUUAUAAUAACAAAUCAUGUCAAAUUAUUUAUAUAUAUUUAUACUAUAUAUUAUUUAUAUUUAAUUAUAUAUAUUAUACAUAUAUUUUUAUAUAAAAAUAUAAAAGUUAGUUAG
Molecule: ribosomal RNA, 471 nt
Filed under: Lodderomyces parapsilosis
Lineage: Eukaryota; Fungi; Ascomycota; Pichiomycetes; Serinales; Debaryomycetaceae
Description: Candida parapsilosis large subunit ribosomal RNA
Rfam family: Bacterial large subunit ribosomal RNA (bases 1-278)
Source: RNAcentral